This 336-nucleotide ribosomal RNA is filed under the name Triticum aestivum (bread wheat). RNAcentral's name for it is "partial small subunit ribosomal RNA". The record is from RNAcentral. Lineage: Eukaryota; Viridiplantae; Streptophyta; Magnoliopsida; Poales; Poaceae.
CUCAACUAUGAUUUUAAAUUUGCCGGUGAAAAGAGGUUAUUUGAUAUUAGCUCGUUAGAUGAAUGGAGAACCCCAUCUUAUGAAAAUGCCAAGUUGUUUAAAGAAAAAGUUAAAAUAUGGCAUGAUAAAAGAAUUCAAACACGGGAAUUCAAAGUGGGUGAGUAUGUUCUAUUGUACAAUUCUCGUUUAAGAUUCUUUGCAGGAAAAGUUCUCUCUAAAUGGGAAGGACCGUAUAUCAUCGAAGAAGUCUAUCGUUCUGGAGCUAUUAAGAUUAAUAAUUCCGAAGGCACUAAUGCGAGGGUGGUCAAUGGACGAAGAAUUAGCAUUAUAUCUCAG